RNAcentral lists this ribosomal RNA (495 nucleotides) under uncultured bacterium. Its description in RNAcentral is "partial 16S ribosomal RNA". It matches the Rfam family "Bacterial small subunit ribosomal RNA", at positions 28 to 507 of the family's 1533-position model. The record is from RNAcentral.
GACGAACGCUGGCGGCGUGCCUAAUACAUGCAAGUAGAACGCUGAAGGAGGAGCUUGCUUCUCUGGAUGAGUUGCGAACGGGUGAGUAACGCGUAGGUAACAUGCCUGGUAGCGGGGGAUAACUAUUGGAAACGAUAGCUAAUACCGCAUAAUAGUAGAUGUUGCAUGACAUUUGCUUAAAAGGUGCAAUUGCAUCACUACCAGAUGGACCUGCGUUGUAUUAGCUAGUUGGUGGGGUAACGGCUCACCAAGGCGACGAUACAUAGCCGACCUGAGAGGGUGAUCGGCCACACUGGGACUGAGACACGGCCCAGACUCCUACGGGAGGCAGCAGUAGGGAAUCUUCGGCAAUGGACGGAAGUCUGACCGAGCAACGCCGCGUGAGUGAAGAAGGUUUUCGGAUCGUAAAGCUCUGUUGUAAGAGAAGAACGAGUGUGAGAGUGGAAAGUUCACACUGUGACGGUAGCUUACCAGAAAGGGACGGCUAACUACGUG